Molecule: ribosomal RNA, 610 nt
Filed under: Pseudomonas sp. 20(2013)
Lineage: Bacteria; Pseudomonadati; Pseudomonadota; Gammaproteobacteria; Pseudomonadales; Pseudomonadaceae
Description: bacterial SSU rRNA
Rfam family: Bacterial small subunit ribosomal RNA
Source: RNAcentral
CUCCUUGAUUCAGCGGCGGACGGGUGAGUAAUGCCUAGGAAUCUGCCUGGUAGUGGGGGACAACGUUUCGAAAGGAACGCUAAUACCGCAUACGUCCUACGGGAGAAAGCAGGGGACCUUCGGGCCUUGCGCUAUCAGAUGAGCCUAGGUCGGAUUAGCUAGUUGGUGGGGUAAUGGCUCACCAAGGCGACGAUCCGUAACUGGUCUGAGAGGAUGAUCAGUCACACUGGAACUGAGACACGGUCCAGACUCCUACGGGAGGCAGCAGUGGGGAAUAUUGGACAAUGGGCGAAAGCCUGAUCCAGCCAUGCCGCGUGUGUGAAGAAGGUCUUCGGAUUGUAAAGCACUUUAAGUUGGGAGGAAGGGCAGUAAGUUAAUACCUUGCUGUUUUGACGUUACCGACAGAAUAAGCACCGGCUAACUCUGUGCCAGCAGCCGCGGUAAUACAGAGGGUGCAAGCGUUAAUCGGAAUUACUGGGCGUAAAGCGCGCGUAGGUGGUUCGUUAAGUUGGAUGUGAAAGCCCCGGGCUCAACCUGGGAACUGCAUCCAAAACUGGCGAGCUAGAGUACGGUAGAGGGUGGUGGAAUUUCCUGUGUAGCGGUGAAAUGC